AGCAGCCGCGGUAAUUCCAGCUCCAAUAGCGUAUAUUAAAGUUGUUGCAGUUAAAAAGCUCGUAGUUGAAUUUCGGGGUUAGUAGGUUGGUCAUGCCUCUGGUAUGUACUGGUCUCACUGAUUCCUCCUUCCUGAUGAGCCGUAAUGCCAUUAAUUUGGUGUUGCGGGGAAUUUGGACUGUUACUUUGAAAAGAUUAGAGUGUUUAAAGCAAACUAACGCUUGAAUACAUUAGCAUGGAAUAAUGAAAUAGGACGUUCGAUCCUAUUUUGUUGGUUUCUAGGAUUGACGUAAUGAUUAAUAGGGAUAGUUGGGGGCAUUAGUAUUCAAUUGUCAGAGGUGAAAUUCUUGGAUUUAUUGAAGACUAACUACUGCGAAAGCAUUUGCCAAGGAUGUUUUCAUUAAUCAAGAACGAAAGUUAGGGGAUCGAAGACGAUCAGAUACCGUCGUAGUCUUAACCAUAAACUAUGCCGACUAGGGAUCGGAUGAUGUUAAUUUUUUAAUGACUCAUUCGGCGCCUUACG
Molecule: ribosomal RNA, 522 nt
Filed under: uncultured Glomeromycotina
Lineage: Eukaryota; Fungi; Glomeromycota
Description: SSU rRNA
Rfam family: Eukaryotic small subunit ribosomal RNA
Source: RNAcentral